Molecule: long non-coding RNA, 1345 nt
Organism: Hylaeus anthracinus
Lineage: Eukaryota; Metazoa; Arthropoda; Insecta; Hymenoptera; Colletidae
Exons: 3
Source: RefSeq, a predicted model, not a curated record
AAAUAAUCUAACAAGACCACGAUAAAUAGUAAACACGGUGUCACCUGAAUCACCCUAUUAAUAACAUUUUCUUCAUUUUUGGUUCCAUUCGAAUAGACAACUUCAAGGAAACGCAUUUUUGACAAAUUCGAAGUUGGUUACAUUCUGCCGUGGGCAGUUAUUUCUGGAAUGGCCAAAAUUGAUACCGCAGGUGUAAAAAUGACACGCCGUAUGAACUCGAUGAAAGGGGUCGAAUUGGCAUCGAUUACUCCGAAAGGACAUACUCCAUUCUGAUAACAGAGCUUUCGAAUGGUGAAAUACCGGAAUCACAGAAGUCCCGGCUGUCUCCCAGGCAUUUUUAUUAAUACAAUCACGCGAUUCAAUUUCUUUUGACGUUUUGAAACGCGCGUCGCUUUUGGGAUAUCUCACAAGAGCGACCAAUCCCUUUUUUCGCAUACGGGCUCAUACGGGCGAUAGCCACGCGCGAUAUGUCGAUAUCGCGAAAAUGAUUUCGAAACGAAUGAGCUACAACAAUCGCCCAGCACACGCUUGAAACCAUUUUCAACAAUUUCGGACUCGUUUGUCAGCACUACUCCUCCGAAUGUGUGCACUUGAUGGAUAUAUCGAUCACGCGAAAUGAACACUUCACACGGUGGCAGCGCGUGCUCCCGUUGUGAAGCACAAUAUUCUGUAUUAUAGACAGGGACGAAGUAACCAUUCCCGUGUUUAAAAGUUGUAAAUUAUUGAUUUGCAACUCGCGUUGAUAAUGCACGUACUUUUUAGGAAAAUUACUUACCAGUGCUCCUACCGAUCCUCGUGUCUAUCGAAUUUGCUCGAUGGUGUGAAUGUUUAUCUGAAAGAAACAAGGAGGUUGAAUUAGUUUAUUGUAAAAGUUUCUCUUAUAAAGAGACGUAAGAUGUGAGAAGAAACAUUGCAAGGUUGGCUCGAUUUUUAUAUUUGGUUCCUUCUCCCUCCAUGAUGGAUAGUUUUCGAUUUACUCUCGUUUCAGGUUAUUUAAAUUGUUAUUCCUAGAUUAUAGAUUUUAUGCAUUUAUGGUGUAGAUUUACGAACAUGUAACAUAUAUGCAAAACAAAGGAAGAGUAUAAGCUCGUCCGUAAACUAAAAUAUAAAUAUUCUUAUAUUAAUCUGCAUACGUAUUGUAUAUGAUUAAUAUAUUCUCUAUAAAUGUAUAAAAUGCGCAGUUCAGUUAUUGGUAGCUGUGUUAUCUUAUCAAGCAUUAUUUUAUCGGUCUAAUAAUGAAAUUGUCACGGAAUUAUAGACGCAAUUCAUUAUAUAUUUAAUAAAGCGAACUGAUUUGUAUCACAAAAAGAAAUGACAUUCGUUUGAAAAACGUUUAAAAAAAAUA